RNAcentral lists this ribosomal RNA (892 nucleotides) under uncultured Pseudomonadota bacterium. RNAcentral's name for it is "bacterial SSU rRNA". It matches the Rfam family "Bacterial small subunit ribosomal RNA", at positions 58 to 927 of the family's 1533-position model. Lineage: Bacteria; Pseudomonadati; Pseudomonadota. The record is from RNAcentral.
CAAGUCGAACGAGAAAGUCCCCUUCGGGGGAUAAGUAAAGUGGCGCACGGGUGAGUAACACGUAGGUAAUCUACCUUCGGGUGGGGAAUAACCCAGGGAAACUUGGGCUAACACCGCAUAAUGCAGCGGCACCACAUGGUGACAGUUGUUAAAGCGGGGGAUUUUAGGACCUCGCGCCUGAAGAGGAGCCUGCGGCGGAUUAGCUAGUUGGUGAGGUAACGGCUCACCAAGGUGACGAUCCGUAGCCGGCCUGAGAGGGCGGUCGGCCACACUGACACUGACAUACGGGUCAGACUCCUACGGGAGGCAGCAGUCGGGAAUUUUGGGCAAUGGGCGAAAGCCUGACCCAGCAACGCCGCGUGAAGGAUGAAAUCCCUCGGGAUGUAAACUUCGCAAGAAUGGGAAGAAUUAGUAGGGGUCAAUACCCCCUAUGAUGACGGUACCAUUUGUAAGCUCCGGCUAACUCCGUGCCAGCAGCCGCGGUAAUACGGGGGGAGCAAGCGUUGUUCGGAUUUACUGGGCGUAAAGGGCGCGUAGGCGGUCAGCACAAGUCAGUUGUGAAAUCUCCGGGCUUAACCCGGAACGGUCAACUGAUACUGUGCGACUAGAGUGCGGAAGGGGCAACUGGAAUUCUCGGUGUAGCGGUGAAAUGCGUAGAUAUCGAGAGGAACACCUGCGGCGAAGGCGGGUUGCUGGGCCGACACUGACGCUGAUGCGCGAAAGCCAGGGGAGCGAACGGGAUUAGAUACCCCGGUAGUCCUGGCCUUAAACGAUGGAUGCUUGGUGUCUGGGGUUUUAUAGUCCCCGGGUGCUGCAGCUAACGCGUUAAGCAUCCCGCCUGGGGAGUACGGUCGCAAGACUGAAACUCAAGGAAUUGACGGGGACCCGCACA